RNAcentral lists this ribosomal RNA (454 nucleotides) under uncultured Marinilabiliaceae bacterium. Its description in RNAcentral is "partial 16S ribosomal RNA". It matches the Rfam family "Bacterial small subunit ribosomal RNA", at positions 341 to 792 of the family's 1533-position model. The record is from RNAcentral. Lineage: Bacteria; Pseudomonadati; Bacteroidota; Bacteroidia; Marinilabiliales; Marinilabiliaceae.
ACGGAAGGCAGCAGUGAGGAAUAUUGGUCAAUGGACGGAAGUCUGAACCAGCCAAGUCGCGUGCGGGAUGAAGGCCCUACGGGUCGUAAACCGCUUUUGUACGGGGAUAAAGUCACCCACGUGUGGGUGUUUGUAGGUACCGUAAGAAUAAGGAUCGGCUAACUCCGUGCCAGCAGCCGCGGUAAUACGGAGGAUCCGAGCGUUAUCCGGAUUUAUUAGGUUUAAAGGGUGCGCAGGCGGGACAUUAAGUCGGUGGUGAAAUACCGUGGCCCAACCACGGGGCUGCCAUCGAUACUGAUGACCUUGAGUGCGUGUGACGUAGGCGGAAUGUGGAGUGUAGCGGUGAAAUGCUUAGAUAUUCCACAGAACACCGAUUGCGAAGGCAGCCUACGAAUGCGUAACUGACGCUCAUGCACGAAAGCGCGGGUAGCGAACAGGAUUAGAUACCCUGGUA